GACGAACGCUGGCGGCGUGCUUAACACAUGCAAGUCGAACGAAGAGCGACGGAAGCUUGCUUCUAUCAAUCUUAGUGGCGAACGGGUGAGUAACGCGUAAUCAACCUGCCCUUCAGAGGGGGACAACAGUUGGAAACGACUGCUAAUACCGCAUACGAUCUAAUCUCGGCAUCGAGGAUGGAUGAAAGGUGGCCUCUACAUGUAAGCUAUCACUGAAGGAGGGGAUUGCGUCUGAUUAGCUAGUUGGAGGGGUAACGGCCCACCAAGGCGAUGAUCAGUAGCCGGUCUGAGAGGAUGAACGGCCACAUUGGGACUGAGACACGGCCCAGACUCCUACGGGAGGCAGCAGUGGGGGAUCUUCCGCAAUGGACGAAAGUCUGACGGAGCAACGCCGCGUGAGUGAUGACGGCCUUCGGGUUGUAAAGCUCUGUUAAUCGGGACGAAAGGCCUUCUUGCGAAUAGUGAGAAGGAUUGACGGUACCGGAAUAGAAAG
This 493-nucleotide ribosomal RNA is filed under the name Veillonella parvula. RNAcentral's name for it is "bacterial SSU rRNA". It matches the Rfam family "Bacterial small subunit ribosomal RNA", at positions 28 to 490 of the family's 1533-position model. Lineage: Bacteria; Bacillati; Bacillota; Negativicutes; Veillonellales; Veillonellaceae. The record is from RNAcentral.